CAGUGGCGAACGGGUGCGUAACACGUGGGCAAUCUGCCUUAAAGUGUGGGACAGCUCGGCGAAAGCCGGAUUAAUACCGCAUGUGGCUACUGGAGACAUCUUCGGGACGCUAAAGGUGGCGCAAGCUACCGCUUUUUGAGGAGCCCGCGGCCUAUCAGCUUGUUGGUGAGGUAACGGCUCACCAAGGCGUUGACGGGUAGCUUCUGAGAGGACAACCAGUCACACUGGGACUGAGACACGGCCCAGACACCUACGGGUGGCAGCAGUCGAGAAUUUUUGACAAUGGGGGAAACCCUGAUCGAGCGACGCCGCGUGGAGGAUGAAGGUCUUCGGGUUGUAAACUCCUGUCAUUUGGGAACAAGUCGCGUGUAUUAACUGUACAUGCGUUGAUAGUACCAGAAGAGGAAGGGACGGCUAACUCUGUGCCAGCAGCCGCGGUAAUACAGAGGUCUCAAGCGUUGUUCGGAUUCAUUGGGCGUAAAGGGUGUGUAGGUGGCGCGCUAAGUCGGGUGUGAAAUUUCGGAGCUUAACUCCGAAACUGCAUUCGAUACUGGCGUGCUUGAGGACUGGAGAGGAGACUGGAAUUUACGGUGUAGCAGUGAAAUGCGUAGAUAUCGUAAGGAAGACCAGUGGCGAAGGCGGGUCUCUGGACAGUUCCUGACACUGAGACACGAAGGCCAGGGGAGCAAACGGGAUUAGAUACCCCGGUAGUCCUGGCAGUAAACGGUGCACGUUUGGUGUGGGAGGAUUCGACCCCUUCUGCGCCGGAGCUAACGCGUUAAACGUGCCGCCUGGGGAGUACGGUCGCAAGAUUAAAACUCAAAGAAAUUGACGGGGGCCCGCACAAGCGGUGGAGUAUGUGGCUCAAUUCGAUGCAACGCGAAGAACCUUACCAGGCCUUGACAUGCAUCUCUAAGUUGGUGAAAGCCAGCGAGUGACGAAAGACACAAUUUGCACAGGUGCUGCAUGGCUGUCGUCAGCUCGUGUCGUGAGAUGUUGGGUUAAGUCCCGCAACGAGCGCAACCCCUGUGAACUGUUGCCACCGGAGCGAGAGCUCCGAGCACUCUGUUCAGACUGCCUCGCUUAAACGAGGAGGAAGGUGGGGACGACGUCAAGUCAGUAUGGCCCUUACGGCCUGGGCUGCACAUGUACUACAAUGCCCAGUACAGAACGAUCCGAGACCGCGAGGUGGAGGAAAUCUAUUGAAAACUGGGCCCAGU
Molecule: ribosomal RNA, 1220 nt
Filed under: metagenome
Description: bacterial SSU rRNA
Rfam family: Bacterial small subunit ribosomal RNA
Source: RNAcentral